This 252-nucleotide long non-coding RNA is filed under the name Carica papaya (papaya). RNAcentral describes it as "long non-coding RNA (CPAP_LNC011381)". Lineage: Eukaryota; Viridiplantae; Streptophyta; Magnoliopsida; Brassicales; Caricaceae. The record is from RNAcentral.
AAUGUGUUGAUGUUUGCGUUCGACAACAGAGUUUUGUUGGAAAGUCUCAACACAUGAAUGAUAAGAAACAAUGUCUUUUGAUAUGAAAAAUGAAUAAAAAUUCAACUCAUGAGCAUGUCAGAUCUCACAGAUUUAAUGAGAGUUUUAUAUUGUAUAAGGAUGAGAGUAUAAAAGUCAGAAAAAAUGGUAAGAACAUUCGACUUUUGACGAAGAAGAUACACUCAAGUAGUGCGAGUGCAAUCAUCAACAAUU